This 466-nucleotide ribosomal RNA is filed under the name Trichoderma sp. FLS-2010. RNAcentral's name for it is "eukaryotic LSU rRNA". The stretch from base 148 to 301 matches the Rfam family "5.8S ribosomal RNA". The record is from RNAcentral. Lineage: Eukaryota; Fungi; Ascomycota; Sordariomycetes; Hypocreales; Hypocreaceae.
CCAAACUGUUGCCUCGGCGGGGUCACGCCCCGGGUGCGUCGCAGCCCCGGAACCAGGCGCCCGCCGGAGGAACCAACCAAACUCUUUCUGUAGUCCCCUCGCGGACGUAUUUCUUACAGCUCUGAGCAAAAAUUCAAAAUGAAUCAAAACUUUCAACAACGGAUCUCUUGGUUCUGGCAUCGAUGAAGAACGCAGCGAAAUGCGAUAAGUAAUGUGAAUUGCAGAAUUCAGUGAAUCAUCGAAUCUUUGAACGCACAUUGCGCCCGCCAGUAUUCUGGCGGGCAUGCCUGUCCGAGCGUCAUUUCAACCCUCGAACCCCUCCGGGGGAUCGGCGUUGGGGAUCGGGACCCCUCACACGGGUGCCGGCCCCGAAAUACAGUGGCGGUCUCGCCGCAGCCUCUCCUGCGCAGUAGUUUGCACAACUCGCACCGGGAGCGCGGCGCGUCCACGUCCGUAAAACACCCAA